CAAAUUGAAUACUUAUAGAAGUAAAUUCAUUUACAUUGAAUUUUAUGUUGUGCAAUUCAAUACAAUUUGA
Molecule: transfer RNA, 70 nt
Filed under: Blaberus sp. B007
Lineage: Eukaryota; Metazoa; Arthropoda; Insecta; Blattodea; Blaberidae
Description: tRNA-Val
Source: RNAcentral